Molecule: non-coding RNA, 45 nt
Filed under: Schistosoma curassoni
Lineage: Eukaryota; Metazoa; Platyhelminthes; Trematoda; Strigeidida; Schistosomatidae
Source: RNAcentral
AUUCAGCUGACGAGUCUCAAAUAAGACGAAACACAUAUCCAAGAU